This 194-nucleotide unclassified non-coding RNA is filed under the name Glomeraceae sp. RNAcentral's name for it is "partial contains 5.8S ribosomal RNA, internal transcribed spacer 2, and large subunit ribosomal RNA". The stretch from base 1 to 71 matches the Rfam family "5.8S ribosomal RNA", at positions 84 to 154 of the family's 154-position model. Lineage: Eukaryota; Fungi; Glomeromycota; Glomeromycetes; Glomerales; Glomeraceae. The record is from RNAcentral.
GUGAAUCAUCGAAUUUUUGAACGCAAAUUGCACUCCCUGGUAUUCCGGGGAGUAUUCCUGUUUGAGGGUCGGUAGAAUAAAAAAUCGAGGCGUCGCUCUUUUUUUUAAGGGUGAUCGCGUCCAUAAUUCUUCAUUAAAUGACCUCAAACAGGUAAGAGUACCCGCUGAACUUAAGCAUAUCAAUAAGCGGAGGA